CUACGGGCCGCUGCAGUGAGGAAUAUUGCACAGUGGGGGGAACCCUGAUGCAGCAACGCCGCGUGGAGGAUGACGCAUUUCGGUGUGUAAACUCCUUUUAUAUGUCAAGAAAAUGACGGUAGCAUAUGAAUAAGCGCCGGCUAACUCCGUGCCAGCAGCCGCGGUAAUACGGAGGGCGCAAGCGUUACUCGGAAUCACUGGGCGUAAAGGACGCGUAGGCGGGUUGAAAAGUCAGGUGUGAAAGCCUACAGCUUAACUGUAGAACUGCACUUGAAACUCUCAAUCUAGAGUAUGGGAGGGGCAGAUGGAAUUAGUGGUGUAGGGGUAAAAUCCGUAGAUAUCACUAGGAAUACCUAAAGCGAAGGCGAUCUGCUGGAACAUUACUGACGCUAAGGCGUGAAAGCGUGGGGAGCAAACAGGAUUAGAUACCCCCGUAGUC
This 439-nucleotide ribosomal RNA is filed under the name uncultured bacterium. RNAcentral's name for it is "partial 16S ribosomal RNA". It matches the Rfam family "Bacterial small subunit ribosomal RNA", at positions 339 to 795 of the family's 1533-position model. The record is from RNAcentral.